Molecule: transfer RNA, 65 nt
Filed under: Aguriahana juglandis
Lineage: Eukaryota; Metazoa; Arthropoda; Insecta; Hemiptera; Cicadellidae
Description: tRNA-Thr
Source: RNAcentral
GUUUUAAUAAUUUAAUAAAAAUAAUGAUUUUGUAAGUCAACAUUAAGGAUAAUCCUUUUAAAACU